CCACCCUUUAAUGUUUGAUGUUCUAACGUGGACCCGUAAUCCGGGUUGCGGACAGUGUCUGGUGGGUAGUUUGACUGGGGCGGUCUCCUCCUAAAGAGUAACGGAGGAGCACGAAGGUUGGCUAAUCCUGGUCGGACAUCAGGAGGUUAGUGCAAUGGCAUAAGCCAGCUUGACUGCGAGCGUGACGGCGCGAGCAGGUGCGAAAGCAGGUCAUAGUGAUCCGGUGGUUCUGAAUGGAAGGGCCAUCGCUCAACGGAUAAAAGGUACUCCGGGGAUAACAGGCUGAUACCGCCCAAGAGUUCAUAUCGACGGCGGUGUUUGGCACCUCGAUGUCGGCUCAUCACAUCCUGGGGCUGAAGUAGGUCCCAAGGGUAUGGCUGUUCGCCAUUUAAAGUGGUACGCGAGCUGGGUUUAGAACGUCGUGAGACAGUUCGGUCCCUAUCUGCCGUGGGCGCUGGAGAACUGAGGGGGGCUGCUCCUAGUACGAGAGGACCGGAGUGGACGCAUCACUGGUGUUCGGGUUGUCAUGCCAAUGGCACUGCCCGGUAGCUAAAUGCGGAAGAGAUAAGUGCUGAAAGCAUCUAAGCACGAAACUUGCCCCGAGAUGAGUUCUCCCUGAGACUUAGAGUCUCCUGAAGGAACGUUGAAGACGACGACGUUGAUAGGCCGGGUGUGUAAGCGCAGCGAUGCGUUGAGCUAACCGGUACUAAUGAACCGUGAGGCUUAACCUUAC
RNAcentral lists this ribosomal RNA (733 nucleotides) under Salmonella enterica subsp. enterica serovar Thompson. Its description in RNAcentral is "partial 23S ribosomal RNA". It matches the Rfam family "Bacterial large subunit ribosomal RNA", at positions 2200 to 2925 of the family's 2925-position model. RNAcentral also lists the same sequence under 1 other name. Lineage: Bacteria; Pseudomonadati; Pseudomonadota; Gammaproteobacteria; Enterobacterales; Enterobacteriaceae. The record is from RNAcentral.